This 223-nucleotide long non-coding RNA is filed under the name Lathyrus oleraceus (garden pea). Its description in RNAcentral is "Pisum sativum (pea) long non-coding RNA (PSAT_LNC016820)". Lineage: Eukaryota; Viridiplantae; Streptophyta; Magnoliopsida; Fabales; Fabaceae. The record is from RNAcentral.
UUAGAAAAUCUGUUAAUAGUUAGUAGUUCAGUUAGCUUUAAAACUGGUGCUAGGAAGGAGUUGGAUUUAUGUUAAUUAGUUAACAGUUAGUGAAUGCAAGUGAAUCUUGCAGUCAGUUUAGUUGGAAUGUUAUGUUAGAAAUGGCCUGUUGGUGAAACCUGUUAUUCAACUUGUCAAUUAAUCUCGAAAUUCUCGCUGAUAGUAGACAUUUGUUAUGUUGUUA